Molecule: long non-coding RNA, 643 nt
Organism: Zophobas morio
Lineage: Eukaryota; Metazoa; Arthropoda; Insecta; Coleoptera; Tenebrionidae
Exons: 3
Source: RefSeq, a predicted model, not a curated record
GAAUCAGAAUCUCUAGCUAAAGAGUUAUGGAAAGUUGAAGGAGAGUCGAAUACGAAGAGCUCUAUAAAAUUGAGUGACAAAAUUCUAUCAUUUGAACUUGGAAAAACAGAUGAACUUGAAGGAAAAAAAGAUGGCGUAGACGUUAUUUAUAGUAAUAUGAAAGAUGAUAAAUAUUCUCCUCAAGAAAACUUUGACAAGUGUUCAACUAAAUUUAAUUUAAAAGGCAAUUCAUACAAGGAAAGCGCCUUGAUGGAAGAUUUUUUUAACCAAGCACUUAGUAAAAAUAAACAUAACUAUCAUAAUUUGGCCUGGUCCAAAGUAUUAAGAGACAAAGGAAAGGCCAAACGGUGGAAAAGUUUUUCAUCACGUUUUAAUAAAAAUAGAAUUCUGCGUAAAAAGUUAGAAGGCGAAGCUGUGGACUUUUCCUAUGCUGGAAAAAUUUCCCAGUUAGAUAAAGAAAGUUUUGUUAAAGAGCCUGUAGAACGGAGUGCUGGUCAGCUUUCAAACGCUUUUGUUAUAAAGAAAAGAUUGUGUACUAUUACAAAAGUAGAAAAAACAGAUAUUACAGAUUCUAAUUAUUAUGUUAAGAACGUUGAGUUGAAUGCACUCAAUACUGACGCCAAAAAUGAUAAAAAUAACUUUU